This 404-nucleotide ribosomal RNA is filed under the name bacterium. RNAcentral's name for it is "partial 16S ribosomal RNA". It matches the Rfam family "Bacterial small subunit ribosomal RNA", at positions 355 to 776 of the family's 1533-position model. The record is from RNAcentral.
UGGGGAAUAUUGGACAAUGGGCGCAAGCCUGAUCCAGCCAUGCCGCGUGAGUGAUGAAGGCCUUAGGGUUGUAAAGCUCUUUUGUCCGGGAAGAUAAUGACUGUACCGGAAGAAUAAGCCCCGGCUAACUUCGUGCCAGCAGCCGCGGUAAUACGAAGGGGGCUAGCGUUGCUCGGAAUCACUGGGCGUAAAGGGCGCGUAGGCGGACUCUUAAGUCGGGGGUGAAAGCCCAGGGCUCAACCCUGGAAUUGCCUUCGAUACUGAGAGUCUUGAGUUCGGAAGAGGUUGGUGGAACUGCGAGUGUAGAGGUGAAAUUCGUAGAUAUUCGCAAGAACUCCAGUGGCGAAGGCGGCCAACUGGUCCGAUACUGACGCUGAGGCGCGAAAGCGUGGGGAGCAAACAGG